Molecule: long non-coding RNA, 1729 nt
Organism: Puntigrus tetrazona (Sumatra barb)
Lineage: Eukaryota; Metazoa; Chordata; Actinopteri; Cypriniformes; Cyprinidae
Exons: 4
Source: RefSeq, a predicted model, not a curated record
AAGUUCAGCUGAGGUGAAGGGGUGAGACAACGUCAAAGAAGGGACAACAGCGAGAGAGAUAGAGAGACGUGUCUAAUGAAGGAAUGCACACAGAGAAAUGGAAACUAAUGGAGACAAAGGAUGUACAGGCGAGAGAGAGAGAUGGCGAUGGGGUGGCUGACUGCUGUUGAACUCAUCGUCAUCUUAAUUGAUGAGGUCAUCCCGGGGACUAUCCCAAAACUAGAGUGUCCCCGGGAGGUCGUCACCAGGUCAUCCAAAAGUCAAAGUGCAUCAGAGAGAGAUGACGUAGCAUGUGAAAGGAAAUUUAAUGUGCCAAGAAUAGCAGAUGGGUUGGUGAGAGGAGGAUACAAAAAGUAGCUGCAAAACAGGAGUACAAUUAUGGUUAUAACAUGGCACAAUCCCACUGGAGUAAUUUGGGACUUAAAGGCCAUGAUGAUUAUUCUUGGCUCGUUGUUUUGAAAGGCUUUAAUCUGAAAUGAAACCACCCCAAUAUUAAUGGUGUCAUGUUUGUUUAUGAAGUAAGUAAGAAAGUAAGAAGAUCGGGCCGCUGAUGUCCAACCAGACCAGAUGGUGUCAUUUUGAAAGAAACUGAAAGAAGAGCAUUUUGAAACUUGGAAGGAGGUUCAGAACAAAUCGUGGAAGCUUGAAAAGAAGAAUGAAAGAAAGGAAGUUCUGUCCAUUGUGAUUAGCGAUGACUAACUUGGUUAUUGAAUUGGCCUUUUUUAUUAAUGUAAAAUAAGGCAAUAGUUUGACAAAGACAUUUGGAUAAAAACAAUGUAAUUUUCAGGAAUGCGUUGCUUGCUGACUGCAUCAAGAAGCAAAAGCUGGUCAUUUCUGACUGACAAACAGCUUGUGUUUUGCUCAUACUGUAGCUAUAAAUGUAUGCCCUAAUGUGUUGUUUGUCUGUGUCCCAGCUUGCGAUAGUUUGCAGAUCCUCUUCAAAGUACUUCAGAUGACAAGGGACCCCUCUCAAAAACACAAGCCUGAACUCUUCAGUUUAAGAGCCCGGCAGUUUGCCUCGCUCUUCCAGCGGAACAUUGAAGAGGAAGUGCCAACCGUUCUUUGAAGAUGUUCAGGUUUCUGGUGAACAAUCAGUGUGAGGCUGAUGUAGAUGGUCUCGACCCCUGGUUGCUGUGAACGUUAGGGAUGCAGAGGAGGGAUGGAGAGAUGCAUUCCUCCUAAAGAAUCCGGCUGAGACAAUAGAACAGCGCACAGGCACUUGGGGAACAGAAGGGUGACACAGAGGGCAGCUCUCACCCACAACAACUCUCCUCCUUUGAAAACAAAACCCCAACCUGUUACUGCUUCAGCCUGUCUGUGGGAGGGGAUGCUCGUAAUAAAGCUGCCAGCCCCCUCGUUAGGUAUCACGAGGGUAAGUGUAUGUGUUUGAGUGAAGGACCAAGGAGCAAUAGUACAGGAAUGCGCCCUUUCAAGUGACAUUUGGGAGCAGGAGCUCUGUGCCACUUUAUUUUUCAUAUGCACGUUUUUUGACCUUUCCCUUUUUCAUUUUAGGGGAUACUGAUGAAAUACAGCUUGCAAUAUUUUACAGCUUGCCAACAUAUAUUUAAUCAUGUCAUGCAUGUAAAUAUACAAUUAAAAGAAAUUGUACUAUGAUUAUCACUAAUGAUACAAGUGGUAAAAUACAUAGCCACGCAAUCAAUAAGAAAUUAUUAAAGGUGACGUUAAUAUCCAUAAACAUGACCAGUAUUCAUAUAUAGACAGUGCAUAG